RNAcentral lists this long non-coding RNA (276 nucleotides) under Mytilus galloprovincialis (Mediterranean mussel). The record is from RNAcentral. Lineage: Eukaryota; Metazoa; Mollusca; Bivalvia; Mytilida; Mytilidae.
UUUUUUUGUGUAGCGUUGAAAGGGUUAAUUGAAGGACCCUGAUCGGGAUUAAAAAAGAAUUGUUUGUUCUGUUACAAAGUUUUAACUGACUAAGUUCAGAUUCUUUAGAAAAAUAUUGAUGUCAUGAGCAUUUUUAUUUAUAAAUUCUAUUUUUAGUCUCUGUUUAUAGUCCAAACCAGAGUGAUACUUUUAGUUGAUAAAAUUUAUUAAGGUUGAUAAGAAAACAAAUGAAUGUGUUGAGAUGGUCAAGAAUUUUAAGAGAUAAUAAAUAAUGUA